GCCAGCUUGGUGUAAUGGUUAAAACACCAGGCUAAAAAUUGGGAGACUGUGAGUUCAAGUCUCUCCUUUGGCC
This 73-nucleotide transfer RNA is filed under the name Ophiophagus hannah (king cobra). It matches the Rfam family "tRNA". From Rfam's summary of the family: Transfer RNA (tRNA) molecules are approximately 80 nucleotides in length. Their secondary structure includes four short double-helical elements and three loops (D, anti-codon, and T loops). The record is from Rfam by way of RNAcentral. RNAcentral also lists the same sequence under 1 other name. Lineage: Eukaryota; Metazoa; Chordata; Lepidosauria; Squamata; Elapidae.